CACCUCCAAGUCCGAGUCCAUGGUUCUCGCCCGGAAAAGGGUGGAGUGCCAUCUCCGGGUUGGGGAGGAGACCCUGCCCCAAGUGGAGGAGUUCAAGUACCUAGGAGUCUUGUUCACGAGUGAGGGAAGAGUGGAUCGUGAGAUCGACAGGCGGAUCGGUGCGGCAUCUUCAGUAAUGCGGACGCUGUAUCGAUCUGUUGUGGUGAAGAAGGAGCUGAGCCGGAAGGCAAAGCUCUCAAUGUACCGGUCGAUCUACGUUCCCAUCCUCACCUAUGGUCAUGAGCUUUGGGUUAUGACCGAAAUGACAAGAUCACGGGUACAGGCGGCCGAAAUUAGUUUCCUCCGCUGGGUGGCGGGGCUCUCCCUUAGAGAUAGGGUGAGAAGCUCUGCCAUCCGGGGGGAGCUCAAAGUAAAGCCACUGCUCCUCCACAUCGAGAGGAGCCAGAUGAGGUGGUUCGGGCAUCUGGUCAGGAUGCCACCCGAACGCCUCCCUCGGGAGGUGUUUAGGGCACGUCCGACCGGUAGGAGGCCACAGGGAAGACCCAGGACACGUUGGGAAGACUAUGUCUCCCGGCUGGCCUGGGAACGCCUCGGGAUCCCCCGGGAAGAGCUGGACGAAGUGGCUGGGGAGAGGAAAGUCUGGGCUUCCCUGCUUAGGCUGCUGCCCCCGCGACCCGACCUCGAAUAAGCGGAAGAAGGUGGAUGGAUGGAGAACAUAAAAACAGGUUCACAGCAGGUGUAUUAUGGGGCGCCAUAGCAGGAUGGAUAUCACUCAGUGUUAAAAGCCAUGGAAUAAAAGUAUGUUUUUAAGAGAUAUUUAAAAACAGGAAGAGAGGAGGCCUGUCUUAACACUCAGAGGGAGGUCGUUCCAGAGCUUGGGAGCAGCAGCGGCGAAAGCUCUGUCACCUCUAAGCUUCAGCCUUGUGUCAGGGACCGUCAGUAGCAGCUGAUUGGCUGAUCUUAGGGAUCGGGUGGGGCAGUAAGGCUGAAGGAGGUCGGAGAGAUAUGUUGGAGUGAGGUUGUUUAGACAUUUAAAAACAAAUAGAAGGAGUUUAAAAUUGAUUCGGUAAUGCACAGGGAGCCAGUGAAGGGACGCUACUAUAGGGGUGAUGUGCUCACGUCUGCGGGUCUGUGUUAGCAGAAGGUCUUAUUUUUGUCCAUGUGAUGUCAGAUGAAACAAAAAUGUAGCUGUUUGGCCACAAUACCCAACAAUAUGUUUGGAGGAGAAAAUGUGAGGCCUUUAAUCACAGGAACACCAUUCCUACCACCAAGCAUGGUGGUGGUAGUAUUAUGCUCUGGGCCUGUUUUGCUGCCAAUGGAACUGGUGCUUUCCAGAGAGUAAAUUGGACAAUGGAAAAGGAGGAUUACCUCCAAAUUCUUCAGGACAACCUAAAAUCCUCAGCUUGGAGGUUGGGUCUUGGGUGCAGUUGGGUGUUCCAACAGGACAAUAACCCCAAACACAUGUCAAAAGUGGUAAAGGAAUGGCUAGAAUUAAGGUUUUAGAAUGGCCUUCCCAAAGUCCUGACUUAUGCUGAAGAAACAAGUCCAUGUCAGGAAACCCAACACAUUUAGCUGAAUUGCACCAAUUUUGUCAAGAGGAGUGGUCAAAAACUUAACCAGAAGCUUGUGGAUGGCUACCAAAAGCGCCUUAUUGCAGUGAAACUUGCCAAGGGACAUGUAACCAAAUAUUAACAUUGCUGUAUGUAUACUUUUGACCCAGCAGAUUUGGUCACAUUUUCAGUAGACCCAUAAUAAAUUCAUAAAAGAACCAAACUUCAUGAAUGUUUUUUGUGACCAACAAGUAUGUGCUCCAAUCACUCUAUCACAAAAAAACAAGAGUUGUAGAAAUGAUUGGAAACUCAACACAGCCAUGACAUUGUGUUCUUUACAAGUGUAUGUAAACUUUUGACCACGACUGUACUAAUGCUCCAUGAGGAAUAUUAACGUCUAUUUGUGGGUAUAUGACCCCUGAACUACCAUCUCUCAUGUACGCGAUUCUUUUAAAUGUUUUAUAUGUGCCAUGUUUCAAUAUACUGUGACAUAUCUUUACAACUGGCUGUGCUCUACAUGUCGUACACAAUAUUCUUCUUGCCAGAUUGCACUCUUUUAUUUUCUUUGAUUCCCCCUUUAAUGUUAUUGUAUACCGUAUUUUUCGGACUAUAAGUCGCAGUUUUUUUCAUAGUUUGGUCGGGCUCCAGUGCGACUUAUAUAUGUUUUUUUCCUUCUUUAUUAUGCAUUUUCGGCAGGUGCGACUUAUACUCCGGUGCGACUUAUACUCCGAAAAAUACGGUAAUCACAUUUGCGAUGCUAACCUCAAUUGUGAAAACCUCAUUUGCUUUUGUCAGAAAGUUUUGUAGCAUUGUGAUAAUUUUGUCAAUCAAGUCUUAAAGGGGUCAUUUAUAAUUGUUUUACUACAUUUAAAACACUUCCUUGUUGUCUACAUAACAUGUAAAGAUGGCGCUUUGGUUAAAAUUUUGCAUUCAUUUUUUUACAGACCAUCUUCAGGCUGUUAUCUAUAUGUGUCUCUGAAAACAAGCCGUUCGUAGCGAUAGUUUUUGCGGUAAACGUCCGUACCAACAAACACGAUAAGUUAGAACUAUACAUUAAUUUUUAAUAGAAAUGGAAACAGCGGAUGUAAAUGAGUACAGAAUUUGACGCAAAGUGACAGGAAAGCGAAGAAGAAUAAACUUCCGAACCGUGGAGAUGAAAGUAUCUCAAGGGUUAGUUUAUUAGCUUUCUCUUUCAAAGCCUUUCUGUCCAUGAAGCUCAAGUAUGUAUUGUUAUUAUGUCUGCCUCUCUAUUUGAAUAUACCAUUGUAAGUAGCGUGCGUAUCUCAUCGAAAUGUAGUCCGGUUAAGUCAAGGAUCGGCAACCCAAAAUGUUGAAAGAGCCAUAUUGGACCAAAAAUACAAAAAACAAAUCUGUCUGGAGCCGCAAAAAAUAAAAAGCCGUAUAUAGGUCUUAUAAUGAAGGCAACACAUGACGUAAGUGUCUAUAUUAGCUCUAAUAGCCUACUAUCAAAAUGACUAUGUGUCGCAGGCUGAAGCAAAUCUUUGUUGACAGAAAUGUUGAAAUGUAAUAUUUAUUCUACACAUUUUUACAACAUUAGAAACCAUUAGUAAAUCACAGGAUACUCAGAAGGUGAGAUAACGCCUGGAAAUUAAUGGCGAAUGGCUUUUAAUGGCCAAAGGUAUAGAUGUGUCGUGUGUGUCCAAGUUAAAGGAAACGGCAGGCUGUCUUCUUUUAAUAGAUCUAUUACAAUCUUUGAUAAGCUAGGUAAUAUUUGCUGUGGUCUGGAACAACAUGGCACACAAACGAACAGAAAUGCAGCCAAUAUUACAUACAGAUAAUGCGUCAUGAGACAUGCAAAACUAAAUGAUAUACAAAGAGGAUAAAAGUAAAGGAAAUUAAAUGAGCUCAAAUAUACCUACAAACGAGGUAUAAUGAUGCAAUAUGUACAUACAGCUAGCCUAAAUAGCAUGUUAGCAUUGAUUAGCUUGCAGUCAUGCACUGACCAAAUAUGCCUGAUUAGCACGCCAACAAGUCAACAAAGCGCACUUUUGUGCAUUCAAGCACAGCAUAAAACGUUUGGUGGACAAAAUGAGACAAAGAAGGAGUGGAAGAUUUGACAUGUAAACAAACUGUUGCGUCACAGUCCACACUAUGAUGAGUUCAAGAACCGACGAAAUUAGUAGGACAAAAUGAUGUUCACCACAUACUGUCAUCAGUGAAGCAUACACACAAACAUAUUAAACAGUGGGCUUUCUAACAAUUGGGAA
Nerophis lumbriciformis (worm pipefish) is the source of this 3778-nucleotide non-coding RNA. The record is from RefSeq and is a predicted model, not a curated record. NCBI's taxonomy places the organism in Eukaryota, Metazoa, Chordata, Actinopteri, Syngnathiformes, Syngnathidae.